This is a long non-coding RNA of Peromyscus eremicus (cactus mouse), 608 nucleotides long. RefSeq lists it as uncharacterized. The record is from RefSeq and is a predicted model, not a curated record. Lineage: Eukaryota; Metazoa; Chordata; Mammalia; Rodentia; Cricetidae. The transcript is spliced from 3 exons.
CUGUGGGUGACACCUGGCAGUUGGAGGUCCUCAGGGGAGGGGCCCGGCCACUUGUGUGCCUCAAGUGGCUUUCAGUGCUCACAUCCGAUCUGAAAGCAUUGUGAAGGAUUGGAAGAGGGGUCUCAAGAUGGCUUUCGUGAUGCCUAAACCACAAUUGGUAUUUCGAUAAAAAUCAGUGGGACUGCUGAAAAGAAGUAUCAGAAGGAUUUCUAAAAAUACCACAUCAUUGUGAAAGUGUUCAGAUUUGAAAAUGAAGUGUGCCCAUAGAAACUGCAUCCCGCUGCAAACCAAUUCGUCUCAGUUUUGAGGAGCAGAGAACAUUGCUCGGCGAGAGUCGUGACAGCAACACCUUACCCCUGACUCGCAAACUCGCUUGAACAAAAACCAAGAGCCCAGAGGUCGACAGAGAGAAAAUUCAAGUUUUAGUUUCGAGACAGUGAUAACAAGCGUACACCUUAAAAUGUGACUGUGUUCUCUGGGUCUCGUAGCUGGCGUACGUACUGUGGGAGCACACAGACAGUCUCUCAGCCGUAUGGAAGGAGGAAGAGGAGGAAAGGAAGAGCUAGAAGGGAGCAGCUGACACGAGUCCACCAAAAACAGCUUCUCCA